This 200-nucleotide ribosomal RNA is filed under the name uncultured eukaryote. Its description in RNAcentral is "partial 18S ribosomal RNA". It matches the Rfam family "Eukaryotic small subunit ribosomal RNA", at positions 588 to 789 of the family's 1831-position model. The record is from RNAcentral.
GCUCCAAUAGCGUAUAUUAAAGUUGUUGCAGUUAAAAAGCUCGUAGUUGGAUUUGUGGCGUACGACGGGCCCCGGGCACUUUGUGUCUGAGUGGCUUGUCGUUGCCAUCCUUGGGUGGAAUCUGUGUGGCAUUAGGUUGUCGUGCAGGGGAUGCCAUCUUUUUACUGUGAAAAAAAUUAGAGUGUUCAAAGCAGGCUUAU